GACGGAGGAUGCAAGCGUUUAUCCGGAAUGAUUGGGCGUAAAGCGUCCGCAGGUGGCAGUUCAAGUCUGCUGUCAAAGACCGGGGCUUAACUUCGGAAAGGCAGUGGAAACUGAACAGCUAGAGUAUGGUAGGGGCAGAGGGAAUUCCUGGUGUAGCGGUGAAAUGCGUAGAUAUCGGAAGGAACAUCAGUGGCGAAAGCGACUCCUGGACCAAUACUGACGCUCAUGUGCGAAAGCGUGGGGAGCAAACAGG
This 253-nucleotide ribosomal RNA is filed under the name uncultured bacterium. RNAcentral describes it as "partial 16S ribosomal RNA". It matches the Rfam family "Bacterial small subunit ribosomal RNA", at positions 524 to 776 of the family's 1533-position model. The record is from RNAcentral.